GAGUUUGAUCGUGCUCAGAGCGAACGCUGGCGGCAGGCCUAAUACAUGCAAGUCGAGCGGCCCUUCGGGGCAGCGGCGGACGGGUGAGUAACGCGUGGGAACGUGCCCUUUGGUUCGGAACAACACAGGGAAACUUGUGCUAAUACCGAAUGUGCCCUUCGGGGAAAGAUUUAUCGCCAUUGGAGCGGCCCGCGUUGGAUUAGCUAGUUGGUGGGGUAAAGGCCCACCAAGGCGACGAUCCAUAGCUGGUCUGAGAGGAUGAUCAGCCACACUGGGACUGAGACACGGCCCAGACUCCUACGGGAGGCAGCAGUAGGGAAUCUUGCGCAAUGGGCGAAAGCCUGACGCAGCCAUGCCGCGUGAAUGAUGAAGGUCUUAGGAUUGUAAAAUUCUUUCACCGGGGAAGAUAAUGACGGUACCCGGAGAAGAAGCCCCGGCUAACUUCGUGCCAGCCGCCGCGGUAAC
Molecule: ribosomal RNA, 465 nt
Filed under: uncultured Alphaproteobacteria bacterium
Lineage: Bacteria; Pseudomonadati; Pseudomonadota; Alphaproteobacteria
Description: bacterial SSU rRNA
Rfam family: Bacterial small subunit ribosomal RNA
Source: RNAcentral